GUAUUGUUGAAGAGUCCCACAAUAGGACGAAACGGUCGUCUAAUGC
Molecule: non-coding RNA, 46 nt
Filed under: Schistosoma margrebowiei
Lineage: Eukaryota; Metazoa; Platyhelminthes; Trematoda; Strigeidida; Schistosomatidae
Source: RNAcentral